UAUCAUAUGUAUGAUUGAGUAUAAGAACUUAAACCGCAACCGGAUCUUAAAGGCGUAAGAAUUGUAUCCUUGUUAGAAGACACAAAGCCAAAGACUCAUAUGGACUUUGGCUACACCAUGAAAGCUU
This 127-nucleotide small RNA is filed under the name Arabidopsis thaliana (thale cress). RNAcentral describes it as "ATSL037380". The record is from RNAcentral. Lineage: Eukaryota; Viridiplantae; Streptophyta; Magnoliopsida; Brassicales; Brassicaceae.